RNAcentral lists this ribosomal RNA (513 nucleotides) under uncultured bacterium. RNAcentral's name for it is "partial 16S ribosomal RNA". It matches the Rfam family "Bacterial small subunit ribosomal RNA", at positions 28 to 523 of the family's 1533-position model. The record is from RNAcentral.
GAUGAACGCUGGCGGCGUGCCUAAUACAUGCAAGUCGAACGCGCAGCGAGAGGUGCUUGCACCUUUUAAGCGAGUGGCGAACGGGUGAGUAACACGUGGAUAACCUGCCUCAAGGCUGGGGAUAACAUUUGGAAACAGAUGCUAAUACCGAAUAAAACUUAGUAUCGCAUGAUAUCAAGUUAAAAGGCGCUACGGCGUCACCUAGAGAUGGAUCCGCGGUGCAUUAGUUAGUUGGUGGGGUAAAGGCUUACCAAGACGAUGAUGCAUAGCCGAGUUGAGAGACUGAUCGGCCACAUUGGGACUGAGACACGGCCCAAACGCCUACGGGAGGCUGCAGUAGGGAAUCUUCCACAAUGGGCGCAAGCCUGAUGGAGCAACGCCGCGUGUGUGAUGAAGGCUUUCGGGUCGUAAAGCACUGUUGUAUGGGAAGAAAUGCUAAAAUAGGGAAUGAUUUUAGUUUGACGGUACCAUACCAGAAAGGGACGGCUAAAUACGUGCCAGCCGCCGCGGUAA